This 253-nucleotide ribosomal RNA is filed under the name uncultured bacterium. RNAcentral describes it as "partial 16S ribosomal RNA". It matches the Rfam family "Bacterial small subunit ribosomal RNA", at positions 524 to 776 of the family's 1533-position model. The record is from RNAcentral.
GACGUAGGGCGCGAGCGUUGUCCGGAUUUAUUGGGCGUAAAGAGCUCGUAGGCGGCUUGUCGCGUCGUCCGUGAAAACCUGCAGCUCAACUGCAGGCUUGCGGUCGAUACGGGCAGGCUGGAGUUCGGUAGGGGAGACUGGAAUUCCUGGUGUAGCGGUGAAAUGCGCAGAUAUCAGGAGGAACACCGGUGGCGAAGGCGGCAUCCUGGACCAACACUGACACUGAUGAGCGAAAGCCAGGGGAGCAAACGGG